RNAcentral lists this unclassified non-coding RNA (240 nucleotides) under soil metagenome. RNAcentral's name for it is "partial contains 5.8S ribosomal RNA, internal transcribed spacer 2, and large subunit ribosomal RNA". The record is from RNAcentral.
AACGCACGAGACCUGCGGACCUGCGGAGGGAUCAUUAAUGUGAUGGAUGUGCUAGUCUUGACCUCUUAAUCCUCCUUCAAUUUAUUGUUAGGUGGGGGCCUGACGGCUCAAGGGGAAAGGAAAUAAGAACCCGUUCGGGUGUGCACUCCGAUACAAUCCAAUUUUCUCUUAUACCUUGUGCAUCUUUGCCUGCUGAGCAUGAAGGGAAUGUUGAAGCAACAUUCUUGAUUGAUCAUGUAG